UGCUGUGAGCUCGAUGAGUAGGGCGGGACACGUGGUAUCCUGUCUGAAUAUGGGGGGACCAUCCUCCAAGGCUAAAUACUCCUGACUGACCGAUAGUGAACCAGUACCGUGAGGGAAAGGCGAAAAGAACCCCGGCGAGGGGAGUGAAAAAGAACCUGAAACCGUGUACGUACAAGCAGUGGGAGCACAGGUUUACCUGUGUGACUGCGUACCUUUUGUAUAAUGGGUCAGCGACUUAUAUUCUGUAGCAAGGUUAACCGAAUAGGGGAGCCGUAGGGAAACCGAGUCUUAACCGGGCGUUAAGUUGCAGGGUAUAGACCCGAAACCCGGUGAUCUAGCCAUGGGCAGGUUGAAGGUUGGGUAACACUAACUGGAGGACCGAACCGACUAAUGUUGAAAAAUUAGCGGAUGACCUGUGGCUGGGGGUGAAAGGCCAAUCAAACCGGGAGAUAGCUGGUUCUCCCCGAAAGCUAUUUAGGUAGCGCCUCGUGAACUCAUCUCCGGGGGUAGAGCACUGUUUCGGCUAGGGGGCCAUCCCGGCUUACCAACCCGAUGCAAACUGCGAAUACCGGAGAAUGUUAUCACGGGAGACACACGGCGGGUGCUAACGUCCGUCGUGAAGAGGGAA
This 628-nucleotide ribosomal RNA is filed under the name Salmonella enterica subsp. enterica serovar Kentucky. RNAcentral describes it as "partial 23S ribosomal RNA". It matches the Rfam family "Bacterial large subunit ribosomal RNA", at positions 395 to 1021 of the family's 2925-position model. The record is from RNAcentral. Lineage: Bacteria; Pseudomonadati; Pseudomonadota; Gammaproteobacteria; Enterobacterales; Enterobacteriaceae.